AAAAUCUGAAGUCUAAACUAAACAAGGCUGAACUCGUGACCUUCACCCGCAACACCUUCAACCGUUGGAAUCUCGUCCCCGCUGUUCGUCGCCACUGCCCGUCAGUCGUCACCGCUGCUCGUUGCUGCUGUCACUGUGCUCCCCUGCUACCAUUAUUUGUCUGAAUAUAGUGGGCUCACCGCAAAGAUUCUUUUGUUUUUGUCAACAAAAUCUCUCAGUAGAACAAAAAAUCGAACGAAAAAGGUUCCAUUUUUCGUUUCGGUUUUAUGAAUUUGGUUUAAAGUUCAUUUCUUUUUCCUUGUUCCCAUGUUUUUGUUAAUGUGCUUGAGUUAUGUAAAUAUCGCUGCCGUUUUUGCCUGGUUUGUUCUGUUUUUGCAGAGAAUAAAAACCAAUAACUUGAGCUGCUGCUGAUUGUUUCGUGUUUCGUUUCGUAAUUUGUUGAGGUUCGUUCACUUGAGAUGCUGUAUUUAGUUAUACCCAUGACUACUAAUUUGUAUACCAAAAUUGAAUUUUGAUUUCUGAUUCAUUCUUUUGUUUUUUCUUUUCCCCCAUUUGGGUGAGAUAUGGUUUGUUUCUUUGAUUGAAAGAUGAUUGAAUGAUUGGUUUUUUCAGUUUCUUUUCCCAAAUCGCAAACUGGAUACUGUUGAGAUUGAUCAUGAUUUUUAUAUCUUAGAGCUGUGUUUGAAAAUGUUCUCUAUAGUGUGCGGUGAAUUGCUGGAUUCACUGAUAUUUUCCAGAGCACGUAAAGCAGGUUCAUAACUAAAUGCUGGUGCUAUGAAUUGCUGGUGUUGUCUUUACUAAUGAUGAAAACUAAAGGUCUAAAGCAAGUUCAAAUACGUCUCAUUCAUGACUUUUUAAGUUUGUAUAUUCAUAACUAAAUUAAUUAAUAAAAAACGCCAGCAAGUAUUAAUUUUUUCCAACAGGUUCAGACAAAAACAUUUUCCAGCUGGUUCUGCUAACUAACUCUAUAUGGAUCCUUAAUUAAACUAUAAUCUAAAUUGAUUUUUUGGUUAAUUUUUAUUUUUUAGAGGCUUCCACCUAUGAUUUGACACAUGUCCCAACAAUCACGAAAAUGGGGAUAAUAAUAAAAGCAGUAAAAGAUUAAAAACUUUUAACUAAGAAACAAAUCGUUUGUUUAAAUAAAUUUUUAUCUUUUAUGUAUGGGUCUUUAUUUGAACAUGUUAUUUGUUCUUGAACAUACUUUGAGACAUAUUUUGAUUUUUUGUUUGUUAAUUUUUUAUGUUUGUGGUAAAUUU
This 1256-nucleotide long non-coding RNA is filed under the name Citrus x clementina. Its description in RNAcentral is "Citrus clementina (C. clementina) long non-coding RNA (CCLE_LNC004024)". Lineage: Eukaryota; Viridiplantae; Streptophyta; Magnoliopsida; Sapindales; Rutaceae. The record is from RNAcentral.